AUGUCGCAUGGGAGCUAUUUGCUCGAUGCCACCAUAUCGCGCGUUCUCGCCGCCCACCAGGGCCCUGGCCGCCACUUCUGCGCGCCCGUCUACCACCUCCCCGUCGACCGAGCCGACGCCUGGCUCAGAUCCCCCGCCCUCGACAACCUCCAUGAGCUCGAGCUUUGCUGCUACCGAUUUUUUUUACCAUCUCCACCGCAAACACUGCAGCCGCCGCCAGCAGCCGCCUUGCGCUUCUCGGACACCCUUUGUGUUGCCACCAUCGGAGAUUGCCACCUUACCGACAGCACCAUCCAAGCGCUUCACUUCCCUAAGCUUCAGAAGCUCGCGCUUAAACGGGUCGGGAUCUCUGAAUCCUCGCUGCACACCAUGAUUUCAACUGGACCCGGGAAAACCAACUCCUGGUGCCGUAAACACCGGGAUCUUAUAAGAUCUCUUGACAUCCGUCUCAAGACAAUUGUUUGGCGACAUUAUCGGGGUAUCAAGUCACAUGUUGACUUCGCCACAUUCUUUAUACUAAACGCUGGAGUGUUGGAAUUGAUGACUUUUGAGGUUAAUUCUGAAGAUUACAAUGAGGAGUUCUUUGCACAACACCUCAUGCAACUUGGUCUCUCUCUCAUCAAGGUAUCACUCAUAUGUUUCCCUCCUUACUCAGAGGCAAGUGGGGAUCUAUCACUUCAGCCGAAACAAAAAAUAUGGGGCCUCGUCUUGGAAGCAAGCAAGGAGUUCUUUUUUCUUUCCAGCCCGGUGUUGAACUGCUCUGAUCAAGCCUGGUGUUGGCCGAUGUGCCGUCGAUCGGCUGACAUUAAUUGUUUUUUGGAAGGUCAAGAUAUUACUGUGGUUUCUCCGGUUUGCACCAACUACUUGCAGUGUGGAUCCACCACUUCAGCCGAAGGCUUCGUCUCGGAAGGCAGCCUCGAGUAUUUGAGUGACGUUGGUGAAGCAAAAACUUCAAGCAACAAGCUAAACCUGGCUAAACUCCAAAUGCCCAGCCAAGAUCAGAACUUUUAUAUGGCGGGUCCUCCAAAGCGCUAUCCCGUGCCGGGCGAUCCUAGCUUCGAAGCAUAUGAGGGUGAAGGUUCACUGUCCAGAAUGUAG
This 1098-nucleotide ribosomal RNA is filed under the name Triticum aestivum (bread wheat). Its description in RNAcentral is "partial small subunit ribosomal RNA". The record is from RNAcentral. Lineage: Eukaryota; Viridiplantae; Streptophyta; Magnoliopsida; Poales; Poaceae.